Molecule: long non-coding RNA, 3700 nt
Filed under: Canis lupus familiaris (dog)
Lineage: Eukaryota; Metazoa; Chordata; Mammalia; Carnivora; Canidae
Description: lncRNA (ENSCAFG00000054683.1)
Source: RNAcentral
UUCUUUUUUUUUUUUUUUUUUUUUUUUUUUCUUUUUUUUUUUCCCCCUUUUUUUUCUCUUUCUCUUUUCUUUCCUUCUUUCUUCCUCUCUUUUCUCUUUUUCCAAUACAACUUGCUUUUGGCCACUCUGCACUGAGCAAAUGACUAGAAGGAAAACCCCCACCUCAAAAGAAAGGAAUCAAAAAACAGUCCCCUCUCCCACAGAGUUACAAAAUCUGGAUUACAAUUCAAUGUCAGAAAGCCAAUUCAGAAGCACUUUAUACAGCUACUGGUGGCUCUAGAAAAAAGUAUAAAAGGACUCAAGAGACUUCAUGACUGCAGAAUUUAGAGCUAAUCAGGCAAAAAAUUAAAAAUCAAUUGAUGAGAUGCAAUCCAAACUAGAAGUCCAAAACGACGAGGGUUAACGAGGUGGAAGAACGAGUGAGUGACCUAGAAGACAAGUUGAUAGCAAAGAGGGAACUGAGGAAAAAAGAGCCCAAAAAAAUUAAAAGACCAUGAAGAUAGAUUAAGGGAAAUAAACGACCGCCUGAGGAAAAAAAAACCUACGUUUAAUUGGGGGUUUCCCCAGGGCGCCGAAAGGGACAGAGGGCCAGAAUAUGUAUUUGAACAAAUUCUAGCUGAAAACUUUCCUAAUCUGGGAAGGGAAACAGGCAUUCAGAUCCGGAAAUAGAGAGAUCCCCCCCUAAAAUCAAUAAAAACCGUUCAACACCUCGACAUUUAAUUGUGAAGCUUGCAAAUUCCAAAGUAAGGGAAGAUCCUUAAAGCACAAGAGACAAGAAAUCCCUGACUUUUAUGGGGAGGAGUAUUAGGGUUAAAAAGCAGACCUCUCCACAGAGACCUGGAGGCCAGGGAAAGGCUGGCAGGAUAUAUUCAGGGUCCUAAAUGAGAAGAACAUGCAACCCAAAAAUACUUUAUCCAGCAAGGCUCUCAUUCAAAAUGGAAGGAGAGAUAAAGGCUUCCAAGACAGGCAGCAACUAAAAGAAAAUGUGACCUCCAAACCAGCUCUGCAAGAAAUUUUAAGGGGGACUCUUAAAAUUCCCCUUUAAGAAGAAGUUCAGUGGAACAGUCCACAAAAACAAAGACUGAAUAGAUUCAUGAUGACACUAAAACUCAUAUCUCUCAAUAGUAACUCUGAAUGUGAACGGGCUUAAUGACCCCAUCAAAAGGCACAGGGUUUUAGACUGGAUAAAAAAGCAGGACCAUCUAUUUGCUGUCUACAAGAGACUCAUUUUGACAGAAGGACACCUACAGCCUGAAAAUAAAAAAGGUUUGGGGAACCAUUUACCAUUCGAAUGGUCCUCAAAAGAAAGCAGGGGUUUUGCCAUCCUUAUAUCAGAUUUAAAAUAAAAUUUCCCCCAAAGACUGUAGUGAGAGAUGAAGAGGGACACUUUAAAAUACUUAAAGGAUCUAUUCAACAAGAGGACUUAACAAUCCUCAAUAUAUAUGCUCCGAAUGGGAGCUGCCAAAUAUAUAAAUCAAUUAUUAACCAAAGUGAAGAAAUACUUAGAUAAUAAUACACUUAUACUUGGUGACUUCAAUCUAGCUCUUUCUAUACUCGAUAGGUCUUUUCAGCAAAACAUCUCCAAAGAAACGAGAGCUUUAAAUGAUACACUGGACCAGAUGGAUUUCACAGAUAUCUACAGAACUUUACAUCCAAACUCAACUGAAUACACAUUCUUCUCAAACGCACAUGGAACUUCUCCAGAAUAGACCACAAUUGGUCACCAAAUCGGGUCUGAACCGAUACCAAAGAUUGGGAUUGUCCCCUGCAUAUUCUCGGGCCAUAAUGCCUUGAAAUUAGAACUAAAUCACAACAAGAAGUUUGGAAGGACCUCAAACAAAAUGGAGGUUAAGGACCUCCUGCUAAAAGAUAAAAGGGUCAACCAGGAAAUUAAGGAAGAAUUAAAAAGAUUCCCUGGAAACUAAUGAGAAUGAAGAUACAACCGUUCAAAAUCUGGGAUGCAGCAAAAGCAGUCCUAAGGGGGAAAUACAUCGCAAUACAAGCAUCCAUUCAAAAACUGGAAAGAACUCAAUACAAAGCUAACCAUACACAUAAAGGAGCUAGAGAAAAAAACAGCAAUAGAUCCUACACCCAAAAGAAGAAGGGAGCUAAUAAAGAUUCGAGCAGAACUCAAGAAAUCGAGACCAGAAGAACUGUGGAAAGAUCAACAGAACCAGGAGUUGGUUCUUUGAAAGAAUUAAUAAGAUAGAUAAAACCUUAGCCAGCCUUAUUAAAAAGAAGAGAGAGAAGACUCAAAUUAAUAAAUCAUGAAUGAGAAAGGAGAGAUCACUACCAACACCAAGGAAAUACAAACGAUUUUAAAAACAUAUUAUGAACAGCUAUACGCCCCUAAAUUAGGCAAACUAGAAGAAAUGGACGCAUUCCUGGAAAGCCACAAAAUACCAAAACUGGAACAGGAAGAAAUAGAAAACCUGAAAAAGGCCCAAUAACCAGGGAGGAAAUUGAAGCAGUCAUCAAAAACCUCCCAAGACACAAGAGUCCAGGGCCAGUGGCUUCCCAGGGAAUUUUAUCAAACGUUUAAAGAAGAAAUCAUACCUAUUCUCCAAAAGCUGUUUGGAAAAGAUAGAAAGAGAUGGAGUAUUUCCCCAAAUUCGUUCUAUGAAGCGAGCAUCCCCUUUAAUUCCAAAGCCAGACAAGACCCCGCCAAAAAGGAGAAUUACAGACCAAUAUCCCUGUUUGAACAUGGAUGCAAAAUUCUCAACAAGAUACUGGCCAAAUAGGAUCCAAAAAGUACAUUAAGAAAAUUAUUCACCAUGACCAUAGGAUUUAUCCCUGGGACACAAGGCUGGUUCAAACACCCUUUAAACAAUCAAUGUGAUUCUUUCCUAUCAGCAAGAGAAAAAACAGAACCAUAUGAUCCUCUCAUUGGAUGCAGAGAAAGCAUUUGACCAAAAUACAGCAUCCAUUCCUGAUCAAAACUCUUCAGAGUGUAGGGAUAGGGGGAACAUUCCUCGACAUCUUAAAGCCAUCUAUGAAAAGCCCACAGAAAAAUAUCAUUCUCAAUGGGGAAAGCACGGGGAGCCUUUCCCCUAAGAUCGGGAACAAGACAGGGUGUUCCACUCUCACCACUGCUUUUCAACAUAGUACUGGAAUUCCUAGCCUCAGCAAUCAGACAACAAAAAGACAUUAAAGGCAUUCAAAUUGGCAAAGAAAAGUCAAACUCUCCCUCUUCGCCGAUGACAUGAUACUCUACAUAGAAAACCAAAAGUCUUCCCCCCCAAGAUUUCUAGAAACUCAUACCAGCAUUUGGUAGCGUGGCAGGAUACAAAUCAAUGCCAGAAGUCCAGUGGCAUUUUAUACACUAACAAUGAGACUGAAGAAAGAGAAAUUAGGAGUCAAUCCCAUUUAAAUUGCACCCAAAGCAUAAGAUACCUAGGAAUAAACCUCACCAAAGAUGUAAAGGAUCUAUUUCCUCAAAACUAUAGGGAAAACUUCUGAAAGAAAUUGAGGAAGACACAAAGAGAUGGAAAAAUAUUCCCUGCUCAUGGAUUGGCAGAAUUAAUAUUGCGAAAAUGUCAAUGUUACCCAGGGCAAUAUACCGUUUAAUGCAAUCCCUAUCAAAAUACCAUGGACUUUCUUCAGAGAGUUAGAACAAAUUAUUUUUAAGAUUUGUGUGGAAUCAGAAAAGACCCCGAAUAGCCAGGGGAAUUUUAAAAAAAGAAACCAUAUCUGGGGGCAA